This 484-nucleotide ribosomal RNA is filed under the name uncultured bacterium. Its description in RNAcentral is "partial 16S ribosomal RNA". It matches the Rfam family "Bacterial small subunit ribosomal RNA", at positions 28 to 507 of the family's 1533-position model. The record is from RNAcentral.
AUUGAACGCUGGCGGCAUGCUUUACACAUGCAAGUCGAACGGCAGCGCGGGCUUCGGCCUGGCGGCGAGUGGCGAACGGGUGAGUAGUGCAUCGGAACGUGCCCAGUAGUGGGGGAUAGCCCGGCGAAAGCCGGAUUAAUACCGCAUACGACCUGAGGGUGAAAGCGGGGGGCCGAAAGGCCUCGCGCUAUUGGAGCGGCCGAUGUCGGAUUAGCUAGUUGGUGGGGUAAAGGCUUACCAAGGCGACGAUCCGUAGCUGGUCUGAGAGGACGACCAGCCACACUGGGACUGAGACACGGCCCAGACUCCUACGGGAGGCAGCAGUGGGGAAUUUUGGACAAUGGGGGCAACCCUGAUCCAGCCAUGCCGCGUGCGGGAAGAAGGCCUUCGGGUUGUAAACCGCUUUUGUUCGGGAAGAAAUCCUCUGGGCUAAUACCCCGGGGGGAUGACGGUACCGGAAGAAUAAGCACCGGCUAACUACGUG